RNAcentral lists this ribosomal RNA (245 nucleotides) under uncultured bacterium. RNAcentral describes it as "partial 16S ribosomal RNA". It matches the Rfam family "Bacterial small subunit ribosomal RNA", at positions 524 to 768 of the family's 1533-position model. The record is from RNAcentral.
UACGGAAGGGGCUAGCGUUGUUCGGAAUUACUGGGCGUAAAGCGCGCGUAGGCGGCUCGGCAAGUGAGGCGUGAAAGUCCUGGGCUCAACCUGGGGACUGCGCUUCAGACUGUCGGGCUAGAGUCCGGAAGAGGGUGGUGGAAUUCCGAGUGUAGAGGUGAAAUUCGUAGAUAUUCGGAGGAACACCGGUGGCGAAGGCGGCCACCUGGUCCGGUACUGACGCUCAAGUGCGAAAGCGUGGGGAG